RNAcentral lists this ribosomal RNA (265 nucleotides) under uncultured archaeon. RNAcentral describes it as "partial 16S ribosomal RNA". It matches the Rfam family "Archaeal small subunit ribosomal RNA", at positions 717 to 982 of the family's 1478-position model. The record is from RNAcentral.
ACACGACUACAUUAGAUACCCGGGUAGUCCUAGCCGUAAACGAUACUCGCUAGGUGUCGGCCACGGUGCGACCGUUGUCGGUGCCGUAGGGAAGCCGUGAAGCGAGCCACCUGCGAAGUACGGCCGCAAGGCUGAAACUUAAAGGAAUUGGCGGGGGGGCACAACAACGGGUGGAGCUUGCGGUUUAAUUGGAUUCAACGCCGGAAAUCUUACCGGGACCGACAGCAACAUGAAGGCCAAGCUGAAGACUUUGCCGGAUUAGCUG